GCGUUAUCCGGAUUUGUUGGGUUUAAAGGGUGCGUAGGCGGGCUUUUAAGUCUGAUGUGAAAGCCUUCGGCUUAACCGGAGUAGUGCAUUGGAAACUGGGAGACUUGAGUGCAGAAGAGGAGAGUGGAACUCCAUGUGUAGCGGUGGAAUGCGUAGAUAUAUGGAAGAACACCAGUGGCGAAGGCGGCUGUCUGGUCUGCAACUGACGCUGAGGCUCGAAAGCAUGGGUAGCGAACAG
This 238-nucleotide ribosomal RNA is filed under the name uncultured bacterium. RNAcentral describes it as "partial 16S ribosomal RNA". It matches the Rfam family "Bacterial small subunit ribosomal RNA", at positions 538 to 775 of the family's 1533-position model. The record is from RNAcentral.